UACGGAGGAUCCAAGCGUUAUCCGGAUUUAUUGGGUUUAAAGGGUGCGUAGGCGGCCUAUUAAGUCAGGGGUGAAAGACGGUAGCUUAACUAUCGCAGUGCCUUUGAUACUGAUGGGCUUGAAUGACUAGAGGUAGGCGGAAUGUGACAAGUAGCGGUGAAAUGCAUAGAUAUGUCACAGAACACCAAUUGCGAAGGCAGCUUACUAUGGUUUUAUUGACGCUGAGGCACGAAAGCGUGGGGAUCAAACAGG
Molecule: ribosomal RNA, 252 nt
Filed under: uncultured bacterium
Lineage: Bacteria
Description: partial 16S ribosomal RNA
Rfam family: Bacterial small subunit ribosomal RNA
Source: RNAcentral